RNAcentral lists this ribosomal RNA (497 nucleotides) under uncultured bacterium. RNAcentral's name for it is "partial 16S ribosomal RNA". It matches the Rfam family "Bacterial small subunit ribosomal RNA", at positions 28 to 507 of the family's 1533-position model. The record is from RNAcentral.
GAUGAACGCUGGCGGCGUGCCUAAUACAUGCAAGUCGAGCGAACAGACGAGGAGCUUGCUCCUCUGACGUUAGCGGCGGACGGGUGAGUAACACGUGGAUAACCUACCUAUAAGACUGGGAUAACUUCGGGAAACCGGCGCUAAUACCGGAUAAUAUAUUGAACCGCAUGGUUCAAUAGUGAAAGACGGUUUUGCUGUCACUUCUAGAUGGAUCCGCGCCGCAUUAGCUAGUUGGUAAGGUAACGGCUUACCAAGGCAACGAUGCGUAGCCGACCUGAGAGGGUGAUAGGCCACACGGGAACUGAGACACGGUCCAGACUCCUACGGGAGGCAGCAGUAGGGAAUCUUCCGCAAUGGGCGAAAGCAUGACGGAGCAACGCCGCGUGAGUGAUGAAGGUCUUCGGAUCGUAAAACUCUGUUAUUAGGGAAGAACAAAUGUGUAAGUAACUAUGCACGUCUUGACGGUACCUAAUAAGAAAGCAACGGCUAACUACGUG